This 507-nucleotide ribosomal RNA is filed under the name uncultured Glomeraceae. Its description in RNAcentral is "SSU rRNA". It matches the Rfam family "Eukaryotic small subunit ribosomal RNA", at positions 569 to 1078 of the family's 1831-position model. Lineage: Eukaryota; Fungi; Glomeromycota; Glomeromycetes; Glomerales; Glomeraceae. The record is from RNAcentral.
AGCAGCCGCGGUAAUUCCAGCUCCAAUAGCGUAUAUUAAAGUUGUUGCAGUUAAAAAGCUCGUAGUUGAAUUUCGGGAUCAGACUGUCGGUCGUGCCUCGGUACGCACUGGCAUUAUUGGUUCCUACCUUCUGAAGAACCGCGAUGUCAUUAAUUUGGUGUCGCGGGGAAUCAGGACUGUUACUUUGAAAAAAUUAGAGUGUUUAAAGCAGGCUUACGCUUGAAUACAUUAGUAUGGAAUAAUGAAAUAGGACGUUUGAUUCUAUUUUGUUGGUUUCUAGGAUCGACGUAAUGAUUAAUAGGGAUAGUUGGGGGCAUUAGUAUUCAAUUGUCAGAGGUGAAAUUCUUGGAUUUAUUGAAGACUAACUACUGCGAAAGCAUUUGCCAAGGAUGUUUUCAUUAAUCAAGAACGAAAGUUAGGGGAUCGAAGACGAUCAGAUACCGUCGUAGUCUUAACCAUAAACUAUGCCGACUAGGGAUCGGAUGAUGUUAAUUUUAUAAUGACUCA